Molecule: ribosomal RNA, 790 nt
Filed under: uncultured Methanolobus sp.
Lineage: Archaea; Methanobacteriati; Methanobacteriota; Methanomicrobia; Methanosarcinales; Methanosarcinaceae
Description: bacterial SSU rRNA
Rfam family: Archaeal small subunit ribosomal RNA
Source: RNAcentral
ACGGCUCAGUAACACGUGGAUAAUCUGCCCUAAGGUCAGGCAUAACACCGGGAAACUGGUGAUAAUUCCUGAUAUACCAUAGAUACUGGAAUGUUCUGUGGUCAAAAGCUCCGGCGCCUUAGGAUGAAUCUGCGGCCUAUCAGGUUGUAGUGGGUGUAACGUACCUACUAGCCGACGACGGGUACGGGUUGUGAGAGCAAGAGCCCGGAGAUGGAUUCUGAGACAUGAAUCCAGGCCCUACGGGGCGCAGCAGGCGCGAAAACUUUACAAUGCGGGAAACCGCGAUAAGGGGACACUGAGUGCCAGCAUACAAUGUUGGCUGUCCGCAUGUAUAAAUAGCAUGUGUUAGCAAGGGCCGGGCAAGACCGGUGCCAGCCGCCGCGGUAACACCGGCGGCCCGAGUGGUGGCCACUAUUAUUGGGUCUAAAGGGUCCGUAGCCGGUUUGAUCAGUCUUCCGGGAAAUCUGACAGCUCAACUGUUAGGCUUCCGGGGGAUACUGUCAGACUUGGGACCGGGAGAGGUAAGAGGUACUACAGGGGUAGGAGUGAAAUCUUGUAAUCCUUGUGGGACCACCAGUGGCGAAGGCGUCUUACCAGAACGGGCCCGACGGUGAGGGACGAAAGCUGGGGGCACGAACCGGAUUAGAUACCCGGGUAGUCCCAGCCGUAAACGAUGCUCGCUAGGUGUCUGGGAUGGUGCGACCGUUUCAGGUGCCGCAGGGAAGCCGUGAAGCGAGCCACCUGGGAAGUACGGCCGCAAGGCUGAAACUUAAAGGAAUUGGCGGGGGAG